This 460-nucleotide ribosomal RNA is filed under the name uncultured bacterium. Its description in RNAcentral is "partial 16S ribosomal RNA". It matches the Rfam family "Bacterial small subunit ribosomal RNA", at positions 338 to 795 of the family's 1533-position model. The record is from RNAcentral.
CCUACGGGAGGCAGCAGUGAGGAAUAUUGGUCAAUGGGCGGAAGCCUGAACCAGCCAAGUCGCGUGAGGGAAUAAGGCCCUACGGGUCGUAAACCUCUUUUGCCGGGGAGCAAGGGCGGGGACGUGUCCCGGCCCGGAGAGUACCCGGAGAAAAAGCAUCGGCUAACUCCGUGCCAGCAGCCGCGGUAAUACGGAGGAUGCGAGCGUUAUCCGGAUUUAUUGGGUUUAAAGGGUGCGUAGGCGGGCUUUUAAGUCAGCGGUAAAAAUUCGGGGCUCAACCCCGUCCGGCCGUUGAAACUGGGGGCCUUGAGUGGGCGAGAAGAAGGCGGAAUGCGUGGUGUAGCGGUGAAAUGCAUAGAUAUCACGCAGAACUCCGAUUGCGAAGGCAGCUUACUAAACUGCCACUGACAUUGAUGCUCGAAAGUGUGGGUAUCAAACAGGAUUAGAUACCCUUGUAGUC